This 279-nucleotide unclassified non-coding RNA is filed under the name plant metagenome. Its description in RNAcentral is "partial contains small subunit ribosomal RNA, internal transcribed spacer 1, and 5.8S ribosomal RNA". The record is from RNAcentral.
UCUCCGUUGGUGAACCAGCGGAGGGAUCAUUACUGAGUAAUCGAUCUAAAACCCUUUGUGAACAUACUUAACUGUUGCCUCCGCCGGCACAGGUCCCUCGCCGAUCUCUCCCGCCAUCGCCCUCUCGGGCGGCGCGCCCGCCGGUGCAUACCAAACUCUAUUUUAACCUCGUAUCACUUUCGUGGCCCAAGCAAAUAAUUAAAACUUUUAUCAACAGCUCACUUGGUUCUGGCAUCGAAGAAGAACGCAGCAGACACGAAGAAGAAACGUCUGAACCCC